AUAAGCGGAAGAAAUUCCGUCUAAUACCGCGUAAUAACUCCGAGAGGCAUCUCCUGGGGUUUAAAGGGUAACACCGGCUACGGAUGGCCAUGCGGCGCAUUAGCUAGUUGGCGGGGUAACGGCCCACCAAGGCGACGAUGCGUAGGGGUUCUGAGAGGAAGGUCCCCCACACUGGUACUGAGACACGGACCAGACUCCUACGGGAGGCAGCAGUGAGGAAUAUUGGUCAAUGGGCGCGAGCCUGAACCAGCCAAGUCGCGUGAGGGAAGACGGUCCUAUGGAUUGUAAACCUCUUUUGUCGGGGAGCAAAAGACGCCACGCGUGGCGUUCCGAGAGUACCCGAAGAAAAAGCAUCGGCUAACUCCGUGCCAGCAGCCGCGGUAAUACGGAGGAUGCGAGCGUUAUCCGGAUUUAUUGGGUUUAAAGGGUGCGCAGGCGGAAGAUCAAGUCAGCGGUAAAAUUGAGAGGCUCAACCUCUUCGAGCCGUUGAAACUGGUUUUCUUGAGUGAGCGAGAAGUAUGCGGAAUGCGUGGUGUAGCGGUGAAAUGCAUAGAUAUCACGCAGAACUCCGAUUGCGAAGGCAGCAUACCGGCGCUCAACUGACGCUCAUGCACGAAAGUGUGGGUAUCGAACAGGAUUAGAUACCCUGGUAGUCCACACAGUAAACGAUGAAUACUAAUUGUUCGGGGAGAAUGAUCCCUGAGUG
RNAcentral lists this ribosomal RNA (706 nucleotides) under uncultured bacterium. RNAcentral's name for it is "bacterial SSU rRNA". It matches the Rfam family "Bacterial small subunit ribosomal RNA", at positions 143 to 845 of the family's 1533-position model. The record is from RNAcentral.